This 310-nucleotide ribosomal RNA is filed under the name uncultured Streptococcus sp. RNAcentral's name for it is "bacterial SSU rRNA". It matches the Rfam family "Bacterial small subunit ribosomal RNA", at positions 1074 to 1382 of the family's 1533-position model. The record is from RNAcentral. Lineage: Bacteria; Bacillati; Bacillota; Bacilli; Lactobacillales; Streptococcaceae.
UUGGGUUAAGUUCCCGCAACCGAGCGCAACCCCUAUUGUUAGUUUGCCAUCAUUCAGUUGGGCACUCUAGCGAGACUGCCGGUAAUAAACCGGAGGAAGGUGGGGAUGACGUCAAAUCAUCAUGCCCCUUAUGACCUGGGCUACACACGUGCUACAAUGGUUGGUACAACGAGUUGCGAGUCGGUGACGGCGAGCUAAUCUCUUAAAGCCAAUCUCAGUUCGGAUUGUAGGCUGCAACUCGCCUACAUGAAGUCGGAAUCGCUAGUAAUCGCGGAUCAGCACGCCGCGGUCGAAUACGUUCCCGGGCCUU